This 502-nucleotide ribosomal RNA is filed under the name uncultured Desulfobulbus sp. RNAcentral's name for it is "bacterial SSU rRNA". It matches the Rfam family "Bacterial small subunit ribosomal RNA", at positions 903 to 1382 of the family's 1533-position model. The record is from RNAcentral. Lineage: Bacteria; Pseudomonadati; Thermodesulfobacteriota; Desulfobulbia; Desulfobulbales; Desulfobulbaceae.
GCCAGCCCGCUCAGAACUUAAAUGAAUUGACGGGGCCGCACAAGCGGUGGAGCAUGUGGUUUAAUUCGAUGCAACGCGAAGAACCUUACCUGGUCUUGACAUCCCGGAGACCCUUAGGAAACUAGGGGGUGCUUCCAUCUGGAAGAAUCUGGAGACAGGUGCUGCAUGGCUGUCGUCAGCUCGUGUCGUGAGAUGUUGGGUUAAGUCCCGCAACGAGCGCAACCCUUGCCUUUAGUUGCCAGCAGUUCGGCUGGGCACUCUAAAGGGACUGCCGGUGUUAAACCGGAGGAAGGUGGGGAUGACGUCAAGUCCUCAUGGCCUUUAUGACCAGGGCUACACACGUACUACAAUGGCCGAUACAAAGGGCAGCGACACUGCGAGGUGAAGCCAAUCCCGUAAAAUCGGUCUCAGUCCGGAUUGGAGUCUGCAACUCGACUCCAUGAAGUUGGAAUCGCUAGUAAUCGUGGAUCAGCAUGCCACGGUGAAUACGUUCCCGGGCCUU